Hydra vulgaris (swiftwater hydra) is the source of this 1120-nucleotide non-coding RNA. The record is from RefSeq and is a predicted model, not a curated record. Lineage: Eukaryota; Metazoa; Cnidaria; Hydrozoa; Anthoathecata; Hydridae.
UAAUGAAGUUACGUAAGAAAUUCGUUUUGCGAGAUAUCAUGCGAGUUGUCGACAAAGAUUCUUAAAUACAUUUGAUAUUCAAAAGUUAAUGAUAUCGUACUUUCCGCAUUACUUUUCCAAACUACUCUGUGCCUCUUGAAGAGGUACUGGUUGGUUUUAAAAAAUAAAGAAAAGUAAGUAGAGGCUCUUGCAUGCAAGGCGUACUGGUUGUUGUGCAGUUUGACACUAAAAAGAUCUUUAAUUAUUUUCUACUAACAAUUCAUAUCCUUAACAAUGGAUCUCAAUAAUCCAAUUAAUAUAUUUGCCGUUCAAGAUAAUAGUAGUAUAAUAAGCCAGACUAUAAUUGAUCAUGUGAUUCCAUUGAGAAGAAGAAUAUAGUGUGGAUUUUAAUGUAGAAAAAGAUGAAGACAAAAAAGUAAUGAUAGCAAUGAAGAAUUUAAGUAAAUGUGGUAGCAGCAUUGCAGUUGAAAAUGCUUUGGUACACAAUAUCAUUAUGGUUCCUCCGAUUCUUCAGGUAGAAGAAUCUUUACUAUCUCUUGGUAGUCAUGGCAAUGUCGAUGGAGUUUUCUACUGCCUUUUAAUUAAAGUUAAUGCUUUAGGAAAAGAAACUUAUUUGGCUAGAUAUUUUGAGUUUGGCAGUUUUACUGCAUACUUUGAUAAUAUUGCACAUGGAAAGCUGAAAAAAGAUUUAAUGGUUGAUGAAAUUCUUCCAUAUUGUGUAUUUACAAUAAAGGAUGUUGAUAUGGAACUUGCAUUAAAAAAAGAAACUUUUGGACACAGAACUAAGAGUGGUAUUUGAUUAGGGAUUGUCCAUAAAUUAUGCAACGCAAAAUAUAUUUAAAUAACAAAAGUAAUAGAUAUUAAGCUUUUUUACAAUUUUCAUUUAACUUAUUGGGGUAUUUUGAUUUUAUUUAAAUUAAGACUCUGCGAGGGAAAACUUUUGAUCUUUUUUGUUUUGUUCAUUGUGAAAGUUUGCGUUACAUAAUUUAUGGACGAUCCCUUACGGAUUUUUUGUCAGAAUGCAAAUUUCUUUUUGCCUUAAAAAAAAAUUAAUACACAAUAAUUAUAUAUGUAUAUGUAUAUAUAUAUAUAUAUAUAUAUAUAUAUAUGUGUGUGUGUG